Long non-coding RNA from Pseudopipra pipra, 514 nucleotides. RefSeq lists it as uncharacterized. The transcript is spliced from 4 exons. The record is from RefSeq and is a predicted model, not a curated record. Lineage: Eukaryota; Metazoa; Chordata; Aves; Passeriformes; Pipridae.
ACAAACAGACACACGCUGCUCCGCGCUCGGCCCGUGCCGUCUCCUGGGGCUUUGGAGAAUCAAAAGAGCCUCACAGUGACUUUUCAAAGGCCACCAGGAUGUGGUAAGCCACCAGGAGAGGACACACAGCCUUUUUGGAAGGAGCUCGCUGCUUGAAGCUUAAUAAAAGUGAAGCCACCUGACCACGUCCUCGCUCCACCACCCUCUGGGCACAGCUGAGUCUUCCCGUGCCAGCAGACAGUUUAUCCAAGUGACACAAAUGCGGUCACAGGAGCUUUCCACCAGCAAACAGCAUCUGGGAGGCGAGGAGGGAUGAUUUACACUCGUGCAGUGAGGCAAAGAUCCCAGGCAAUGGAGAACAUGGAAGUUUUCCUCCCCGGAAGGAAGGUCCUGCCUGGCCCUUCACAGGAGUCAGGACCUCCAACACCAUCACAGGAUGCAGCAUCUGUCACCUACAUUUGCAGAGAAGAUGUUGGAGGAACCUGCCAGGAGCAACUGGUUUGAAAAAGCUCUG